Molecule: ribosomal RNA, 253 nt
Filed under: uncultured prokaryote
Description: partial 16S ribosomal RNA
Rfam family: Bacterial small subunit ribosomal RNA
Source: RNAcentral
ACGUAGGGUGCAAGCGUUAAUCGGAAUUACUGGGCGUAAAGCGUGCGCAGGCGGUUCGUUGUGUCGGUGGUGAAAUCCCCGGGCUUAACCUGGGAAUGGCCAUGGAAACUGGCGAACUGGAGUGUGGCAGAGGGGGAUGGAAUUCCGCGUGUAGCAGUGAAAUGCGUAGAUAUGCGGAGGAACACCGAUGGCGAAGGCAAUCCCCUGGGCCUGUACUGACGCUCAUGCACGAAAGCGUGGGGAGCAAACAGGA